GGAGAGGUGUCGGAGUGGUCUAACGUGAGGUCCUGGAAAGACCUUCUGCGUCAAAAGCGCAGCGAGAGUUCGAAUCUCUCCCUCUCCG
Molecule: transfer RNA, 88 nt
Filed under: Candidatus Obscuribacterales bacterium
Lineage: Bacteria; Bacillati; Candidatus Melainabacteria; Candidatus Obscuribacterales
Description: tRNA-Ser
Rfam family: tRNA
About the family: Transfer RNA (tRNA) molecules are approximately 80 nucleotides in length. Their secondary structure includes four short double-helical elements and three loops (D, anti-codon, and T loops). Further hydrogen bonds mediate the characteristic L-shaped molecular structure. tRNAs have two regions of fundamental functional importance: the anti-codon, which is responsible for specific mRNA codon recognition, and the 3' end, to which the tRNAs corresponding amino acid is attached (by aminoacyl-tRNA synthetases). tRNAs cope with the degeneracy of the genetic code in two manners: having more than one tRNA (with a specific anti-codon) for a particular amino acid; and 'wobble' base-pairing, i.e. permitting non-standard base-pairing at the 3rd anti-codon position.
Source: RNAcentral